GACCAGCUAGCUCAGUCAGUAGAGCAUGAGACUCUCAAUCUCAGGGUCGUGGGUUCAAGCCCCACAUUGGGCA
This is a transfer RNA of Oryctolagus cuniculus (rabbit), 73 nucleotides long. It matches the Rfam family "tRNA". Rfam says of the family: Transfer RNA (tRNA) molecules are approximately 80 nucleotides in length. Their secondary structure includes four short double-helical elements and three loops (D, anti-codon, and T loops). Lineage: Eukaryota; Metazoa; Chordata; Mammalia; Lagomorpha; Leporidae. The record is from Rfam.